UACAAAACUCUGACGUCUUCUUCUAAUCUGACUUUUGUAAGAAACACAGCUGAAGCUAGCUAGCUAAAAAGACAGCUUAGUGUCCAGCCACACGUCGACAUACAGCAGCUUUUGACGGAGAGCCGUGAUGGCCAAAAAGGUGUCUUUCUAGACCAUGUCCAGUUAAUUCUGUUGCCACAUGAGGACCCCAAUCAAGACACAUCUGAAGCCAAUGAAACCAAAGAGGAUGCACCUGAUCACAAUUUGCUGCCACAUAAAAGCUAAAUCCAGCAGCAGAGCUAGCAUGAGGCCUGAUCCCGGCAUCGGGUGCUCCAGGUGGGUCCUCUGACUCUCCCUCCGUCUCCAUCUCUCCCCAGUUCCUUGUUGUGAAGGUGGGUGGUGUUGGCUCCCUGGCAGUGAUUCUAGCACUUGGUGCUGGUGGCCACAUGUGGGUGGAACUUAUUUAUGCAGGCCAAACAGUCGGUCUGUUUCAGAGCAAACAUGAACUGCGUUCAAAUAGAAAACCUUCCUAAACUUUAGUAUGUUUUCACAUUAGACAGCGUUUGCCAUCCAAGUUAAAUUUAGAUUCUUUUACACCCGCUUCAGAAGAAGGCAGUGUAAAAUGCUUGUCACCCCAUGGAUGGAAGCCUUAGCAAGGUCACAAGUUUUCUCUUUGAAAGAGCUAGAGUGUCUCCAGCCCAGGACUCAUUUAACAGAUGCCAGCACAAAAAGGUGUGUUGAGAACGCAGCUUAUACAAAGCUCCUCUGUACACUUACGUCUCUCUGAUUAUGCCGAACCAGACGGAGCAGCACUGGUAGCUGGAAGGAAAACCAAGGAGUGGGAGUCAGGCAGACAAAUUGAGAUGGGCGAGUAGGAAGAAUGCAUUAGCAGUCCAAGUCCUGCCAUGGCUGCAGGGCUGGUAGCAGGAACACAGCACAAUAACUACCAAUCUGCACAAGGCUCCAGUCACUUCACUACACGUCCUUCUGUUAACACUGUUAAGUGCUGCUUAAAAGGACAUUUAAUAUGUAAGUGAGUAAAAAUACCAAGAGAUUUGAAUAGUUUUCAAUCACUGAGAAGCUGAAAAAUCAUGAACAAGCUAUGGAGUAAGACUGAUGUGUCCUCCAUGGAGACACAUCAUAUCCUGGAAUUCUGCUUCUUCACACUGUAUGUAGUAAUAUAGACUUAUUUAGUUCUGUUGUUUUCAUCAGGGUCUGUAAAACAAAUCAAACAACUAGCGUUUAGGGAGAGCGGGCACCUACUGGCCCAUACAAAUGCGCUGAUAAGUUCUGAUCAGCCCAUUCGUUAUGGCUGAUAACAUCCGAAGCGGGUGAAAAGAUACUGUGAUUUAGAGGAUGUGGCUGAUGACUGCAUCAGUUAAAAAGGGCACAGCCAGCAGAUGUGAGACGUGCUCUCUGCUCCAUCCCUUUAUUCCAGCCAGUCAAGGCAGAUGCCAGUCUGUCACACGUAUGGCACAGCCUUUGUUUAAAGACAGCAGUCACGGUAGUGUAGUGGUUAGCAUUCAACCCUCACACCAGGUGUGUGUGUAGUCUGGUUUCCUCCCACAGUCCGGUGACGUGCAAUUAGGCUGACUGGGAGUGUAAAUUAUGCAGGAGGGAGUUGUCGUCUACUUGGCCCAAUGCUGGACUGGCGAUCUGUCCAGGAUGAACCCUGCCACUCAGACAGGCUGCAUGCGGGGAAUGACAUCAUGAAUGAAGUGUAGGGUCUUAAUGAUUCCCCCUUCUACUGACAUCAUAAAGGAACUGAGGUUUGGGAAAAAAAGAAUAGUCCAUGAAUGUUGUAAUGAAAACACGUUUCUAUGUGCUAUGUAAAAUAAAUUAAGUGAAGGCCAGUGGGAGAUUCUAGGUCGACUGGUGGAAUGGACGAUUUAAGAAUAGGACCUGAUGGGGUACGAGGCAUUUUAAUGUUCUCAGCCCCAGUCAGGGUAAUCUCCUGUGCGGCUGAUGAGUCAGAACCUCUUGUUUGAGUCUGUUUUCAAGAGCUAAUCAGCAGCAUGGUCAUUCCACGUCCCCUGAGAUCUGAAGCUUACUGCUACUUAAUGACGGUGAAAACUAGCAUCUGUUUUCACUCCAACAGCCAAAAGAAGCAACAAUGAGCACAUUCACCAAAAACACAGUGACUCAACAAGUCACUUAAAGUCAUCUUCACACACACCUUCUGUGCUUUGCUCACUACUGUCUCACUCAAAGUAGAUGAGACAGUUCCAGAUGAGGCUCCCUGUGUUCCCUUUCAACACAAUGUUGUAUUCAGGCCAUUGAAUCUAGGAUUGUAGAUUAGAAUCUGUUGUUAUCUUAAACACAAUAGAUUUCCUUUGCAUUCACAUGUACAUGUAGCUGCAGUCCUCACCCCUGUGACAAGAUGCCUGAGCACAACGCUGGAACUGGAUGUCACUUGAAUUUACAGGAAGGGGGCUGACGAGGUGCUGCAAUGAGUGACCAUUCUGCACACAUCUCAGUUUCUCCCACACUGCUGAUCAUUGAGCCAAAGGAGGAGCUAUUAACAAGUAGAUGUGGGGGAUGUCUCCAUGUUAUUGUGUGGGGGUUAAAGUGCUGACGGACAUCACAGCGACGAGAACAACAGCCUUCUGUUGUUCUGCAUUUACAGGCUACACGCUGUUUCAGCGUUGCUGGUUUCUAAGGCCUCGCUGCAAGACGAGGCUUAUUUAACACUUCCAACAACACCAUCGUUUUUUACUGAGCUCAAUAUUAGCAUUGGAUUCUUAAGCAAACCUGUAUGAGGCAUUCUGGCACCUGCUGCGCAUGCUGCACCUGUGACACUGUAGAACAAAGUCCAUGCUGCUUGUGGCUGCUGAUUACUGUAUAGUAGAAUAAAAGCUGUUAAAUGAAUGAUGAAUCCAUCUCUUCUGGACUGAUGCCUGUGCUGCUGUAACAAUUAAUCUCCUCCUCCUGGAUCAAUAAACCUUUAUGUCAGAAAGCAGAUCUCUUUUUAUUUUGGAACACUACACUUACUUAAAUAACAGGAGAUUAACAAAUUACAUAGUGAACCACUAAACCUCAGUUUUGUAUUAACGUGCUACAGGAACCAAUCAUUAACAAGAUGAUUCAUUUAGCUACAAUAUAGUGAUACUAGGUUUUCACAUUAUGUUGUAAUCCCACAUCCUAUGCAGAAGAAGUGAUCUGUCACUCAGACUGUCUAGUAA
Molecule: long non-coding RNA, 3161 nt
Organism: Betta splendens (Siamese fighting fish)
Lineage: Eukaryota; Metazoa; Chordata; Actinopteri; Anabantiformes; Osphronemidae
Exons: 3
Source: RefSeq, a predicted model, not a curated record